Salmo salar (Atlantic salmon) is the source of this 78-nucleotide non-coding RNA. NCBI's taxonomy places the organism in Eukaryota, Metazoa, Chordata, Actinopteri, Salmoniformes, Salmonidae. The record is from Rfam.
CUUUGCUUUUAGCUUCUCUACAGUGCUGCCUUGUAGAGUCAUGUUCAAACAGCAUUGUACAGGGCUAUGACAGCGUAG